This 198-nucleotide ribosomal RNA is filed under the name uncultured bacterium. RNAcentral's name for it is "partial 16S ribosomal RNA". It matches the Rfam family "Bacterial small subunit ribosomal RNA", at positions 328 to 539 of the family's 1533-position model. The record is from RNAcentral.
ACGCUCGACACCUACGGGAGGCAGCGGUGGGGAAUAUUGCACAAUGGGGGAAACCCUGAUGCAGCGACGCCGCGUGAGCGAAGAAGUAUUUCGGUAUGUAAAGCUCUAUCAGCAGGGAAGAAAAUGACGGUACCUGACUAAGAAGCCCCGGCUAACUACGUCCCAGCAGCCGCGGUAAUCUGAGCGGGCUGGCAAGGC